RNAcentral lists this ribosomal RNA (401 nucleotides) under uncultured bacterium. RNAcentral's name for it is "partial 16S ribosomal RNA". It matches the Rfam family "Bacterial small subunit ribosomal RNA", at positions 363 to 776 of the family's 1533-position model. The record is from RNAcentral.
AUUGCACAAUGGGCGAAAGCCUGAUGCAGCGACGCCGCGUGGGGGAUGAAGGCCUNCGNNUUGUANANCCCUUUCAGCAGGGANNNNNCGAAAGUGACGAUACCUGCAGAAGAAGCGCCGGCUAACUACGUUCCAGCAGCCGCGGUAAUACGUAGGGCGCAAGCGUUGUCCGGAAUUAUUGGGCGUAAAGAGCUCGUAGGCGGUUUGUCGCGUCUGCUGUGAAAACCCGAGGCUCAACCUCGGGCCUGCAGUGGGUACGGGCAGACUAGAGUGCGGUAGGGGGGACUGGAAUUCCUGGUGUAGCGGUGGAAUGCGCAGAUAUCAGGAGGAACACCGAUGGCGAAGGCAGGUCUCUGGGCCGCAACUGACGCUGAGGAGCGAAAGCGUGGGGAGCAAACAGG